GAGUAUCUCCUCCAGAGUUUCAUGGUCAUCCCAAUGGAAAUGAGUUGUGCUUCUCCGUUCUCCGCUGGUAGAUGCCAGCCCUUCAAAGAAAUGAACUUCCUUUCUACAGAUACUUUAAAGGCUUCUCUCCAGCUGUAUAACCACUGAGGAUUUUGGUUCUCUCUGUGAGCUCCUUUGCUCCUUCUGUUUAGCUGGAAAGAGCCAGCAGGUUUAGAAGUUAUCAGAAGCAGUGUCUGUAAAUACCCAACAGAAGUCUAACAGCACAAAGCUUUCCACUGACAGCGAUGGGAUAACACCUUCUUGUCGUGGAGCAGUUUUGGAAAGUCUAUUCACAGAUAUGAUUACACUUCUGGUUUUCUUCAGGAAGAAAGGCCUGACCAUUUCUCAGGCCCACUCUGUCAAGAUAACAUGUUUCCAACUGCUUAUUUGGAGACUUUUUAGUAUCUUUUCUUUGAGAUUAUCACCAGCAGCUCAACUCUAAACACAUUGCUAGUCAUUAGUAAUCUACUUGAGUAACGUAAGAGGGAACAGCUUGUUUCCUUUGGAAUGGAGAUACUAUUUGUGAAAUAGCCUUUCAAGGAGUGAGUCACUGGUGAAAGGAGGAAGUUCAUUAAAUAUGCACUCAUGAAAACUGCGAGGAGAA
Cygnus olor (mute swan) is the source of this 643-nucleotide long non-coding RNA. RefSeq lists it as uncharacterized. The transcript is spliced from 5 exons. Lineage: Eukaryota; Metazoa; Chordata; Aves; Anseriformes; Anatidae. The record is from RefSeq and is a predicted model, not a curated record.